GACGAACGCUGGCGGCGUGCCUAACACAUGCAAGUCGAGCGAGGUUGCGGAUGGGUGCUUGCACCCUGAAGCUACCUAGCGGCGGACGGGUGAGUAACGCGUGAGUAACCUGCCUUAUACAGGGGGAUAACAACGAGAAAUCGUUGCUAAUACCGCAUAAGACCACGGUAUCGCAUGGUACAGGGGUAAAAGGAGCAAUCCGGUAUAAGAUGGACUCGCGUCCCAUUAGCUAGUUGGUGAGAUAACAGCCCACCAAGGCAACGAUGGGUAGCCGACCUGAGAGGGUGAUCGGCCACACUGGGACUGAGACACGGCCCAGACUCCUACGGGAGGCAGCAGUGGGGAAUAUUGGGCAAUGGGCGAAAGCCUGACCCAGCAACGCCGCGUGAAGGAAGAAGGUCUUCGGAUUGUAAACUUCUGUCGUCAGGGACGAAAAAGGACGGUACCUGACAAGAAAGCCCCGGCUAACUACGUG
This 475-nucleotide ribosomal RNA is filed under the name uncultured bacterium. Its description in RNAcentral is "bacterial SSU rRNA". It matches the Rfam family "Bacterial small subunit ribosomal RNA", at positions 28 to 507 of the family's 1533-position model. The record is from RNAcentral.